RNAcentral lists this ribosomal RNA (253 nucleotides) under uncultured bacterium. Its description in RNAcentral is "partial 16S ribosomal RNA". It matches the Rfam family "Bacterial small subunit ribosomal RNA", at positions 524 to 776 of the family's 1533-position model. The record is from RNAcentral.
GACGAACCGUGCGAACGUUGUUCGGAAUCACUGGGCUUAAAGGGCGCGUAGGCGGGCAGGCAAGUCAGGGGUGAAAGCCCACGGCUCAACCGUGGAAGCGCCUUUGAUACUGCCGGUCUCGAGGGAGGUAGGGGCGUGCGGAACUUCCGGUGGAGCGGUGAAAUGCGUAGAUAUCGGAAGGAACACCGGUGGCGAAAGCGGCGCGCUGGACCUCUUCUGACGCUGAGGCGCGAAAGCCAGGGUAGCGAACGGG